UACGGAGGGUGCUAGCGUUGUUCGGAAUCACUGGGCGUAAAGGGCGUGUAGGCGGUCUGUUAAGUCUGAUGUGAAAUCCCCUCGCUCAACGAGGGAACUGCGUCGGAUACUGGCAGACUCGAGUACCGGAGAGGAAGGUGGAAUUCCCGGUGUAGCGGUGAAAUGCGUAGAUAUCAGGAGGAACACCUGUGGUGUAGACAGCUUACUGGACCACUUCUGACGCUGAGACACGAAAGCGUGGGUAGCAAACAGG
This 253-nucleotide ribosomal RNA is filed under the name uncultured bacterium. Its description in RNAcentral is "partial 16S ribosomal RNA". It matches the Rfam family "Bacterial small subunit ribosomal RNA", at positions 524 to 776 of the family's 1533-position model. The record is from RNAcentral.